AAACUCAAAUGAAUUGACGGGGGCCCGCACAAGCGGUGGAGCAUGUGGUUUAAUUCGAUGCAACGCGAAGAACCUUACCUGGUCUUGACAUCCACGGAAGUUUUCAGAGAUGAGAAUGUGCCUUCGGGAACCGUGAGACAGGUGCUGCAU
Molecule: ribosomal RNA, 150 nt
Filed under: Salmonella sp.
Lineage: Bacteria; Pseudomonadati; Pseudomonadota; Gammaproteobacteria; Enterobacterales; Enterobacteriaceae
Description: partial 16S ribosomal RNA
Rfam family: Bacterial small subunit ribosomal RNA
Source: RNAcentral